Molecule: unclassified non-coding RNA, 374 nt
Filed under: Hevea brasiliensis (rubber tree)
Lineage: Eukaryota; Viridiplantae; Streptophyta; Magnoliopsida; Malpighiales; Euphorbiaceae
Source: RNAcentral
AGAGCCACAAUAGGUACACAGAAAGAUUAACUCAGUUAUGAUAAUCGGGCCUGCUUAUGUGGAUUACAAUACUAGAUCCAUUUUUUCCACCCCAGACAAAAGUAGGCUUACACAAACAAGUCAAGAGCUCUAAAGAAACAUCAACAACAAAGGAGAAUAAUACAAUUCCAUGGUACAAAAUUUGGAACAACAGAGACUGCAAGUUACUAUUCUUAGGUUUUAUCAAAAAGGACACAACAUCAUACUCCUCUACGCAGUCUCUUGAAUAGUAUAUACUUUAUUUGUCACAAAAUUGUUGGGUUUGAAAAAUUAGUUUCAGUGUUCUAAUUGUGAAUUCAUAACAAUAUAAUGAGAACUUGAAAAGUUACCCUGAG